Molecule: non-coding RNA, 297 nt
Organism: Cinara cedri
Lineage: Eukaryota; Metazoa; Arthropoda; Insecta; Hemiptera; Aphididae
Source: the annotation of a GenBank genome assembly
AAUUAUUUUUACCGAACAAAAUGGAAAGCGACGAAUUGCCGAAAUCGUUUUGCACCGAGGAGUUUCGUUCACUGUUGCUAGUGAACGCCACAGUGCUAUUUUCAGUGUCGGAAAAUCGCGCGCACCAACAGAGUCGUGUGCGCGAUACAGUGAUACGGGGAUAGUAGCACGCGUCGGCAAGCGAAGUAGCUAACGAAAUAUCGUCGCACGACAAACGCGACAGUGACCGACUCGUGAACGCGACGAUGCCGUUGGCCGCCGUGCUAGAGCAGAAUCCUAUAAAUGGGAAACGGGAGA